This 77-nucleotide microRNA precursor is filed under the name Microcaecilia unicolor. RNAcentral describes it as "Mun-Let-7-P2b2_pre stem-loop". It matches the Rfam family "let-7 microRNA precursor family", at positions 7 to 78 of the family's 84-position model. Rfam says of the family: This family represents the microRNAs (miRNA) let-7 and mir-98. let-7 was identified from a study of developmental timing in C. elegans, and was later shown to be part of a much larger class of non-coding RNAs termed miRNAs. The extents of the hairpin precursors are not generally known and are estimated based on hairpin prediction. Lineage: Eukaryota; Metazoa; Chordata; Amphibia; Gymnophiona; Siphonopidae. The record is from RNAcentral.
UGAGGUAGUAGGUUGUGUGGUUUCAGGGUAGUGAUUUUGUCCCAGUCAGGUGAUAACUAUGCAACCUACUGCCUUCC